AAUUCCGGAUUAUGAGAGAAA
This 21-nucleotide unclassified non-coding RNA is filed under the name synthetic construct. The record is from RNAcentral.